GGAUAUGAGGGCAAUCUCACUGCAACAUGUGUCACCCCACUGAUCGCCAGGGUUGAUUCAGCAGAUCUGGCUGGCUAGGAGGAUGUCCCCUUCCUCCCGCAACGCUCCAUGUGCAUCCCUCCUGAAGCUGCGCACUUGGUCGAAGAGGACGACCAGCCCCGAUAGAGGAGGACCGUUCCUGGGUCAAGGGUAUACGCGUAGCUGCGCUCCCCUGCUGGAACCUCCAAACAAGCUCUCGAGGGCCCUUCCCAGUCCUCGUCAUGGCCCAGGAGGUUUAUAUUUGUAAUCCCAUUACUGGAACCCUAGUGGGUUAAUUCCAAUCUAC
Molecule: small nuclear RNA, 325 nt
Filed under: Chinchilla lanigera (long-tailed chinchilla)
Lineage: Eukaryota; Metazoa; Chordata; Mammalia; Rodentia; Chinchillidae
Description: 7SK RNA (ENSCLAG00000021664.1)
Rfam family: 7SK RNA
About the family: 7SK was discovered as an abundant small nuclear RNA in the mid-70s but a possible function has only recently been suggested.
Source: Rfam by way of RNAcentral